Molecule: long non-coding RNA, 1408 nt
Filed under: Sus scrofa (pig)
Lineage: Eukaryota; Metazoa; Chordata; Mammalia; Artiodactyla; Suidae
Description: lncRNA (ENSSSCG00000061727.1)
Source: RNAcentral
AGUGAUGGUCCUGAGAAGGGGCCAGGUCCUGUCAUGGGCACGAGCAGGGCCCGGAACAAGCCUUGUCCCUGGCUCCAUGGGUUGCAGAUCAGAAAUCAGCCUGAAAUGGAUGCAAAUCUUCAGGUCUUCUUCCUUCAAGGAAGGCGAUAAAGAUACAUAAAGAGGGAGUGGGGGUGGUACGUCCAUCAGAGACAGAGAUGGAGAGGGCAAAGAGCCGACAGGCACAGCUCCCUUAUUUUCCAAGUGGGUUGAAAAGGUGUGUUUGGGGCUGGGAGCUGUGCCUGUGCUUCCCUGUCCCUUUGUCCUCUGCACUUUUGCUUCUUGCCUUGUGGGCAUCUUGUCAGUGAUGGCAGUACUGAGUAGUACCAAGCAUCACUGAGAAUCCCUGGGGAGUACUGAGCAUCACUGGGCAGUACUAAGCAUCGCUGAGCAGUACUGAGCAUCACUGAACAUCACUCACUGGCAAAUGGGGUUCUGGGAAUGGGAAGAAUUGGUGCCCCACAACCUGCGCUGCUCUUAGUCGCAUGGUCACCUGCACAAGUCGUUUACACAAGGUGUGUCUUGGUUUGGGCCUGUGUAAAGUGGGGGAAGUAUCGCUGUCUUCCUUCUGGGGGUGCUGGAGAGAGUGCAGUGAGUUAUGCCACGUCAAACACUUCACCUGACCAGGUAGUGAUACUGGAACACCACCGUAAGCGCUCAGUAAACAUCACACACACACACACACACACACACACACACGCAUCAACAAGCUCGCCCGCCAUCGCUCCCAUUCCUCCUCUGCUGAUCUCUGUAACCCGUCUCCAUCUCGCCCGCUGUGUAGUCACUUGUUCAUUUGCCUCUUGUUGACUCUCUGCUACCCCCACCCCAUCCUGAGCCCCGCAGAUGCUGAGGUCUCUGUUACUUGUAUUUAAUGCUUUAGUCCCUGGAGCAUGAGUAGGUGCCUAGUAAAUAUGGGCUGAAGGGACGAGUCUCUGUUUUCGAGAUGACCUCCAGGCCCAGACUCAGGCAGAGGGGUAGAAUAACUUAGCCAAGAUCACUCAGCUACCAGCAGUUGAGGAAUCUGAAAUCAUUUAAAUCUAAUGGCUUCAAUUCUAAUUUAUACCAGUAAUGCCUCUCCACCAGCAAAACAAAAUACAGAAAAGCUAAGCCUAGCACCUGCAACGUGGCAGGGAUUCAGAGAAUGUUAAAUCGGAGUUCCCGUUGUGCCUCAUCUGGUUAAGAACCUGACACUGUCUCUGUGAGGAUACAGGUUCAAUCCCUAGCUUGGUGGGUUAAGGAUCUGGCCUUGCCACAAGCUGCAGGCGUGGGUCACAGAUGCAGCUCGGAUGCAUGUUACUGUGGCUGUGGCAUAGGCCAGCUGCUCUGAUUCGCCUCCCAGCCUGGGUACUUCCAUAUGCUGUAGGUGCCG